ACCAGACUCCUACGGGAGGCAGCAGUGAGGAAUAUUGGUCAAUGGUCGGGAGACUGAACCAGCCAAGCCGCGUGAGGGAGGAAGGUACAGAGUAUCGUAAACCUCUUUUGUCAGGGAACAAAGGCGGGGACGUGUCCCCGGAUGAGUGUACCUGAAGAAAAAGCAUCGGCUAACUCCGUGCCAGCAGCCGCGGUAAUACGGAGGAUGCGAGCGUUAUCCGGAUUUAUUGGGUUUAAAGGGUGCGUAGGCGGCCUGUUAAGUCGGGGGUAAAAGCCGGGGGCCCACCCCCGGCGAGCCGUUGAAACUGGCUGUCUUGAGAUGUCGAGAGGUAUGCGGAAUGCGCGGUGUAGCGGUGGAAUGCAUAGAUAUCGCGCAGAACUCCGAUUGCGAAGGCAGCAUGCCGGCUCCACACUGACGCUGAGGCACGAAAGCGUGGGUAUCGAACAGGAUUAGAUACCCCCGUAA
RNAcentral lists this ribosomal RNA (465 nucleotides) under uncultured bacterium. RNAcentral's name for it is "bacterial SSU rRNA". It matches the Rfam family "Bacterial small subunit ribosomal RNA", at positions 330 to 793 of the family's 1533-position model. The record is from RNAcentral.